GCCCGGCUGGCGUAAUGGUUAACGCGUAAGACUUCUAUGACCAAAGUAAUUUGAAAAUCUUACUUUAGAAGCUCAUCUUAAGAUUGCGAGUUCGAGUCUCGCGUCGGGUU
Non-coding RNA from Nemania sp. NC0429, 110 nucleotides. Lineage: Eukaryota; Fungi; Ascomycota; Sordariomycetes; Xylariales; Xylariaceae. The record is from the annotation of a GenBank genome assembly.